CAGCAGCCGCGGGAAUACGAAGGGGGCUAGCGUUGUUCGGAAUUACUGGGCGUAAAGCGCACGUAGGCGGAUAUUUAAGUCAGGGGUGAAAUCCCGCAGCUCAACUGCGGAACUGCCUUUGAUACUGGGUAUCUUGAGUAUGGAAGAGGUUAGUGGAAUUGCGAGUGUAGAGGUGAAAUUCGUAGAUAUUCGCAGGAACACCAGUGGCGAAGGCGGCUAACUGGUCCAUAACUGACGCUGAGGUGCGAAAGCGUGGGGAGCAAACAGGAUUAGAUACCCCCGUAGUCCAUGUCUCUUAUAA
RNAcentral lists this ribosomal RNA (301 nucleotides) under uncultured bacterium. RNAcentral describes it as "partial 16S ribosomal RNA". It matches the Rfam family "Bacterial small subunit ribosomal RNA", at positions 509 to 809 of the family's 1533-position model. The record is from RNAcentral.